CGUUGCUUUGUCAACCUCCACCAAGGAUGCUACUUCACCAACAACUUUCGAAAAGCAGUCCUUAUUCCACAAGGAAAUAGGGAGCCCGUAACACCUAACCCAGAUAAUUUUAUGACCUGCUACAUGUGCAUCGGUCCAUGGUUCUACCGCCUCAAACACACUCUCAAACCAUUGCUUAUUGGUUCGAAUGAUAUCCUCUACUCUCACUCCCUGGUUGGGUGUUAUGAGAGCCAUGUUGUCCCCCAGAUAUCUCACUUUUACCAUGUUCAUCCCUCCCAAGAUAAACUCCUC
This 291-nucleotide long non-coding RNA is filed under the name Phaseolus vulgaris (common bean). RNAcentral describes it as "long non-coding RNA (PVUL_LNC004022)". Lineage: Eukaryota; Viridiplantae; Streptophyta; Magnoliopsida; Fabales; Fabaceae. The record is from RNAcentral.